GACGUAGGGGACGAGCGUUGUCCGGAUUUAUUGGGCGUAAAGCGCGCGUAGGCGGCUUGGAAAGUCGGAUGUGAAAAUCCGGGGCUCAACCCCGGACCUGCAUCCGAUACUUCCAGGCUAGAGGUAGGUAGGGGAGAUCGGAAUUCCUGGUGUAGCGGUGAAAUGCGCAGAUAUCAGGAGGAACACCGGUGGCGAAGGCGGAUCUCUGGGCCUUACCUGACGCUGAGGCGCGAAAGCUAGGGGAGCGAACAGG
This 253-nucleotide ribosomal RNA is filed under the name uncultured bacterium. RNAcentral describes it as "partial 16S ribosomal RNA". It matches the Rfam family "Bacterial small subunit ribosomal RNA", at positions 524 to 776 of the family's 1533-position model. The record is from RNAcentral. RNAcentral also lists the same sequence under 1 other name.